AGUGAACGCUGGCGGUAGGCCUAACACAUGCAAGUCGAACGGCAGCACAGUAAGAGCUUGCUCUUAUGGGUGGCGAGUGGCGGACGGGUGAGGAAUACAUCGGAAUCUACCUUUUCGUGGGGGAUAACGUAGGGAAACUUACGCUAAUACCGCAUACGACCCUCGGGUGAAAGCAGGGGACCUUCGGGCCUUGCGCGGAUAGAUGAGCCGAUGUCGGAUUAGCUAGUUGGCGGGGUAAAGGCCCACCAAGGCGACGAUCCGUAGCUGGUCUGAGAGGAUGAUCAGCCACACUGGAACUGAGACACGGUCCAG
This 312-nucleotide ribosomal RNA is filed under the name uncultured bacterium. RNAcentral's name for it is "bacterial SSU rRNA". It matches the Rfam family "Bacterial small subunit ribosomal RNA", at positions 29 to 334 of the family's 1533-position model. The record is from RNAcentral.